RNAcentral lists this transfer RNA (87 nucleotides) under Saccharimonas sp. (SeqCode). RNAcentral describes it as "tRNA-Leu". It matches the Rfam family "tRNA". From Rfam's summary of the family: Transfer RNA (tRNA) molecules are approximately 80 nucleotides in length. Their secondary structure includes four short double-helical elements and three loops (D, anti-codon, and T loops). RNAcentral also lists the same sequence under 1 other name. Lineage: Bacteria; Candidatus Saccharimonadota; Candidatus Saccharimonadia; Saccharimonadales (SeqCode); Saccharimonadaceae (SeqCode). The record is from RNAcentral.
GCGGAUAUGGCGGAAUUGGUAGACGCGCUAGCUUCAGGUGCUAGUGCCAGCAAUGGCGUGGAGGUUCAAGUCCUCUUAUCCGCACCA